This 252-nucleotide ribosomal RNA is filed under the name uncultured bacterium. Its description in RNAcentral is "partial 16S ribosomal RNA". It matches the Rfam family "Bacterial small subunit ribosomal RNA", at positions 524 to 776 of the family's 1533-position model. The record is from RNAcentral.
UACGGAGGGGCUAGCGUUGUUCGGAAUUACUGGGCGUAAAGCGCACGUAGGCGGCUUUGCAAGUUAGAGGUGAAAGCCCGGGGCUCAACUCCGGAAUUGCCUUUAAAACUGCAUCGCUAGAAUUGUGGAGAGGUAAGUGGAAUUCCGAGUGUAGAGGUGAAAUUCGUAGAUAUUCGGAAGAACACCAGUGGCGAAGGCGGGUCUCUGGGCCGAUACUGACGCUGAGGAGCGAAAGCGUGGGGAGCGAACAGG